AGACCCGAAACCCGGUGAUCUAGCCAUGGGCAGGUUGAAGGUUGGGUAACACUAACUGGAGGACCGAACCGACUAAUGUUGAAAAAUUAGCGGAUGACCUGUGGCUGGGGGUGAAAGGCCAAUCAAACCGGGAGAUAGCUGGUUCUCCCCGAAAGCUAUUUAGGUAGCGCCUCGUGAAUUCAUCUCCGGGGGUAGAGCACUGUUUCGGCUAGGGGGCCAUCCCGGCUUACCAACCCGAUGCAAACUGCGAAUACCGGAGAAUGUUAUCACGGGAGACACACGGCGGGUGCUAACGUCCGUCGUGAAGAGGGAAACAACCCAGACCGCCAGCUAAGGUCCCAAAGUCAUGGUUAAGUGGGAAACGAUGUGGGAAGGCCCAGACAGCCAGGAUGUUGGCUUAGAAGCAGCCAUCAUUUAAAGAAAGCGUAAUAGCUCACUGGUCGAGUCGGCCUGCGCGGAAGAUGUAACGGGGCUAAACCAUGCACCGAAGCUGCGGCAGCGACACUGUGUGUUGUUGGGUAGGGGAGCGUUCUGUAAGCCUGUGAAGGUGUGUCGUGAGGCAUGCUGGAGGUAUCAGAAGUGCGAAUGCUGACAUAAGUAACGAUAAAGCGGGUGAAAAGCCCGCUCGCCGGAAGACCAAGGGUUCCUGUCCAACGUUAAUCGGGGCAGGGUGAGUCGACCCCUAAGGCGAGGCCGAAAGGCGUAGUCGAUGGGAAACGGGUUAAUAUUCCCGUACUUGGUGUUACUGCGAAGGGGGGACGGAGAAGGCUAUGUUGGCCGGGCGACGGUUGUCCCGGUUUAAGCGUGUAGGUGUGUGUUCCAGGUAAAUCCGGUUCACUUUAACACUGAGGCGUGAUGACGAGGCACUACGGUGCUGAAGCAACAAAUGCCCUGCUUCCAGGAAAAGCCUCUAAGCAUCAGGUAACACGAAAUCGUACCCCAAACCGACACAGGUGGUCAGGUAGAGAAUACCAAGGCGCUUGAGAGAACUCG
RNAcentral lists this ribosomal RNA (993 nucleotides) under Salmonella enterica. RNAcentral describes it as "partial 23S ribosomal RNA". It matches the Rfam family "Bacterial large subunit ribosomal RNA", at positions 711 to 1702 of the family's 2925-position model. Lineage: Bacteria; Pseudomonadati; Pseudomonadota; Gammaproteobacteria; Enterobacterales; Enterobacteriaceae. The record is from RNAcentral.